GCUUCUCGGCCUUUUGACUAAGAUCAAGUG
Molecule: small nuclear RNA, 30 nt
Filed under: Cervus elaphus hippelaphus
Lineage: Eukaryota; Metazoa; Chordata; Mammalia; Artiodactyla; Cervidae
Source: RNAcentral